This 496-nucleotide ribosomal RNA is filed under the name uncultured bacterium. Its description in RNAcentral is "partial 16S ribosomal RNA". It matches the Rfam family "Bacterial small subunit ribosomal RNA", at positions 29 to 507 of the family's 1533-position model. The record is from RNAcentral.
AUGAACGCUGGCGGCGUGCCUAAUACAUGCAAGUCGCGCGAACGGACGAGAAGCUUGCUUCUCUGAUGUUAGCGGCGGACGGGUGAGUAACACGUGGAUAACCUACCUAUAAGACUGGGAUAACUUCGGGAAACCGUAGCUAAUACCGGAUAAUAUUUUGAACCGCAUGGUUCAAAAGUGAAAGACGGUCUUGCUGUCACUUAUAGAUGGAUCCGCGCUGCAUUAGCUAGUUGGUAAGGUAACGGCUUACCAAGGCAACGAUGCAUAGCCGACCUGAGAGGGUGAUCGGCCACACUGGAACUGAGACACGGUCCAGACUCCUACGGGAGGCAGCAGUAGGGAAUCUUCCGCAAUGGGCGAAAGCCUGACGGAGCAACGCCGCGUGAGUGAUGAAGGUCUUCGGAUCGUAAAACUCUGUUAUUAGGGAGGAACAUAUGUGUAAGUAACUGUGCACAUCUUGACGGUACCUAAUCAGAAAGCCACGGCUAACUACGUG